Molecule: long non-coding RNA, 1279 nt
Filed under: Chrysemys picta bellii (western painted turtle)
Lineage: Eukaryota; Metazoa; Chordata; Testudines; Emydidae
Description: lncRNA (ENSCPBG00000027384.1)
Source: RNAcentral
UUACAACAGUUAAUCUCCACGCCAGAUUCCAACAUUGAAAAGGCGAGUGAAAUAAGAGGAGACAUAGCCGGGGAGAUGAGAUUGGACAUAGGAAGGACAGGGGGGACGGACACAAAGAGGCCCGCAACAUAUAGUGCUACUAAUGGGAGACAGGCUAAACAACAUACAUUAGGGUGUUUAUACACCAAUGCGAGAAGCCUAGGUAAUAAAAUGGAGGAAUUGGAGCUCUUGGUCCGAGAAUUGAAACCAGAUGUCGUAGGAAUAACUGAAAAGUGGUGGAAUGACAGUCACGACUGGAACACAGGUAUGGAGGGGUAUGCGCUGUUUAGGAAAGACCGGGAGAAAGGUAAAGGUGGGGGGGUGGCAUUGUAUGUCAAUAGUGAAAUAAGCUGUAAAGAAAUAAUAGUGGAUGGAAUAGAUAAUACGGAGUCCAUCUGGGCAAUACUUACACUGGGUAAAAGGACCACUAGAGCCUCUCCGGGGAUAGUGCUUGGGGUGUGCUAUAGACCGCCGGGAUCGUCCCAGGAUAUGGAUAAGGAACUAUUUAAUGUAUUUAGGGAAGUAAAUACUAAUAGAAACUGUGUAAUUAUGGGGGACUUUAACUUCCCGGAUAUAGAUUGGGGAACAAACGCUAGUAGCAAUAAUAGGGCUCAGAUGUUCCUAGAUGUGCUUGCUGAUCAAUUCCUUCAUCAAGUGGUAGCUGAACCGACGAGGGGGGAGGCCAUUUUAGAUUUGAUUCUGGUAAGUAGUGAGGGCCUCGUUGAGGAAGUGGUAGUAGGGGACAAUUUGGGCUCCAGUGAUCAUGAGCUAAUUCGGUUUAAAAUACAUGGAAGGAGUAACAGAAUUAAGUCAAAGACUAGGGUUUAUAAUUUUAAAAAGGCCAAUUUUAACAAAUUAAGGGGACUGGUAAGGGAAGUGGAUUGGGCAAACGUAUUAAUGGAUCUAAAGGCAGAAGAAGCCUGGGAUUACUUCAAGUUAAAGAUGCAUGAGCUGUCGGAGGCCUGUAUUCCAAAAAAGGGAAAAAGAUUACUAAGCAAGAGAUUUAGACCAAGCUGGAUGAGUGACCGACUGGGAAAAAACAGAAAGCGUACAAAGAGUGAAAGAGGGGAGGGAUCAGUAAGGAAAUGUACCUAAGUGAAGUCAGGCCGUGUAGAGUUGGACCUAGCGAGGGGAAUUAAAAGCAAUAGUAAGAGGUUUUACAGCCACAUAAAUAGGAAAAUACCACUCCCCGUCGGACUGGGACCACUGAAGCCUAUCGCCCGAGAGGANNNNNNNNNNN